CACUUACUGUACUUAAAUGUCUUGACUGAUGUCAUGACAUGCUUAAGUAGUAUGCUGCAGGAUUAGCUAAUACAGGAUUUACUGGAUGUCAAAUUGAAUGUUAUGACAUUCAUUCAUGACAGUAUUUUCUGGAUGUCAAACUGAAUGUUAUGACAUUCAUCCCUGACAGCAGAUGCUAAAGUAUAGGCUAAUUUUUCUGUUAUGUUUCAG
Molecule: long non-coding RNA, 210 nt
Filed under: Lathyrus oleraceus (garden pea)
Lineage: Eukaryota; Viridiplantae; Streptophyta; Magnoliopsida; Fabales; Fabaceae
Description: Pisum sativum (pea) long non-coding RNA (PSAT_LNC007682)
Source: RNAcentral